This 426-nucleotide ribosomal RNA is filed under the name uncultured bacterium. RNAcentral describes it as "partial 16S ribosomal RNA". It matches the Rfam family "Bacterial small subunit ribosomal RNA", at positions 354 to 796 of the family's 1533-position model. The record is from RNAcentral.
GUGGGGAAUAUUGCACAAUGGGGGAAACCCUGAUGCAGCGACGCCGCGUGAGCGAAGAAGUAUUUCGGUAUGUAAAGCUCUAUCAGCAGGGAAGAAGAAUGACGGUACCUGACUAAGAAGCACCGGCUAAAUACGUGCCAGCAGCCGCGGUAAUACGUAUGGUGCAAGCGUUAUCCGGAUUUACUGGGUGUAAAGGGAGCGCAGGCGGUGCGGCAAGUCUGAUGUGAAAGCCCGGGGCUCAACCCCGGUACUGCAUUGGAAACUGUCGUACUAGAGUGUCGGAGGGGUAAGUGGAAUUCCUAGUGUAGCGGUGAAAUGCGUAGAUAUUAGGAAGAACACCAGUGGCGAAGGCGGCUUACUGGACGGUAACUGACGUUGAGGCUCGAAAGCGUGGGGAGCAAACAGGAUUAGAAACCCGAGUAGUCC